AGAGUUUGAUCCUGGCUCAGGACGAACGCUGGCGGCGUGCCUAAUACAUGCAAGUCGAGCGAAUCGAUGGGAGCUUGCUCCCUGAGAUUAGCGGCGGACGGGUGAGUAACACGUGGGCAACCUGCCUAUAAGACUGGGAUAACUUCGGGAAACCGGAGCUAAUACCGGAUAAUCCUUUUCCUCUCCUUUUUAAAAGCUGAAAGUCGGUUUCAGCUGACGCUUCCAGAUGGGCCCGCGGAGCAUUACCUAGUUGGUGAGGUAACGGGUCACCAAGGCGAUCAUGCGUACCCCAACUGAUAGGGUGAUCGGCCACACUGGCACUGACACUGGGCCCGAACUCCUACCGGAAGUCCUACUAGGGAAUCUUCCACAAUGGAUUAAAGUCUGAUGGAACAUCUCCUGGAGAGCCAUGAAGGGCUUCAGGUCGGACUUCUCUGUUGUUAGGUAAGAAGUUAUACCGGAAUAACUGCCGGAACCUUGGCCGUACCUUUCCCGAAACCCACGGCUAACUACGUGCCUACCUCCGCGGCAAUACCUACGUGGCUAGCGUUGUCCGGAAUUAUUGGCCGUAUUGUUGGCGCAAGCGGGCCUUUAAGUCUGAUGUGAAAUCCCAUGUGUCAGCCGUGGAGGGUCAUUGGAAACUGGAUUACUUGCUGGCAGACUAGGAUGGCGAAGAUCCACGUGUAGCUCUGAGUUGCGUAGAGAUGUGCAUGAACAUCUGUGGCAAAAGCGGCUUUCUGGGCUGUUUCUGACGCUGAGGCUGACAAUCAUGCGGAGCAAACUGGAUUAGCAUACCCUGGUAGACCCCGUCGUAGACGAUGACUGAUACGAGUUAUGCGGUUUGCGCCGCUUAUUGCUGCAGCUAACGCUGUAAGCACUCCGCCUGGGGAGUACGGCCGCAAGGCUGAAACUCAAAGGAAUUGACGG
Molecule: ribosomal RNA, 927 nt
Filed under: Bacillus sp. E4R16_pA
Lineage: Bacteria; Bacillati; Bacillota; Bacilli; Caryophanales; Bacillaceae
Description: bacterial SSU rRNA
Rfam family: Bacterial small subunit ribosomal RNA
Source: RNAcentral